GACGAACGCUGGCGGCGUGCUUAACACAUGCAAGUCGAGCGGUAAGGCCCUUUCGGGGGUACGACGAGCGGCGAACGGGUGAGUAACACGUGGGUGACCUGCCCUCAGCUCUGGGAUAAGCCUGGGAAACUGGGUCUAAUACUGGAUAUGACUCCACGGUGCAUGUCGUGGGGUGGAAAGCCUUGUGCGGCUGAGGAUGGGCCCGCGGCCUAUCAGCUUGUUGGUGGGGUGANGGCCUACCAAGGCGACGACGGGUAGCCGGCCUGAGAGGGCGACCGGCCACACUGGGACUGAGACACGGCCCAGACUCCUACGGGAGGCAGCAGUGGGGAAUCUUGCGCAAUGGGCGAAAGCCUGACGCAGCGACGCCGCGUGAGGGAUGACGGCCUCGGUUGUAACGUACUU
RNAcentral lists this ribosomal RNA (405 nucleotides) under uncultured bacterium. RNAcentral's name for it is "bacterial SSU rRNA". It matches the Rfam family "Bacterial small subunit ribosomal RNA", at positions 28 to 435 of the family's 1533-position model. The record is from RNAcentral.